Long non-coding RNA from Perca flavescens (yellow perch), 330 nucleotides. RefSeq lists it as uncharacterized. The transcript has 3 exons. NCBI's taxonomy places the organism in Eukaryota, Metazoa, Chordata, Actinopteri, Perciformes, Percidae. The record is from RefSeq and is a predicted model, not a curated record.
GUUUGUCUUCCCGCCACUAGAUGGAGGUCACGUUCCGUCCAAAUAUUGCAUGGCGGUGUUGCUGUUUGCUGCCCAAAACUGAAGGCUGGCCAGAAAGAUGCUACGUGCUGUUCUCCUUCAUGUUUCCUUGCAUGUCUCACAGUUGUCUACAGGAGGAGACACAAAGGUCAGGGAGAUAAGAAUCGAUUAGGAAGAGAGGAUUCACAAGAGAAACACACCUUGUGAACAUGAGCAGCCAAGCAUCAGAGCAGCUCUUCACAGACACUCCUCCUCCUCCUCCUCCUCCUCCCUGUUUUCUCAAGGUAAGAAGAGGCAACGCACGCACUACAU